Brachypodium distachyon (stiff brome) is the source of this 130-nucleotide non-coding RNA. Lineage: Eukaryota; Viridiplantae; Streptophyta; Magnoliopsida; Poales; Poaceae. The record is from Rfam.
AUUAUAUUCCUCCGUCCAACAAAGGAUGUCUCAACUUUGACUAAAUUCGAAUGCAUCUAUAUACUAAGUCAUUAUACAUCCAAAUUUUGGCAAACUUGAGACAUCUUUUGUUGGAUGGAGGGAGUAGUAA